GCUGUUAAGGGUUCGUAGUUGAACUGUGGGUUGUUUUCGAGCCAUCAGCAGCUCAGUCCCGCUCUACGGAUCGGCGACCGCUGCACUCGCAACCCGUGAACAUCCGAAACAGAAAUCGCGGGUCGCGCUUCCCUUCCCAACCCCGCGUGACAUGCACGCCAGCGGAGGGACGCCCGUGUAUUACUGUGACCAAAGAAGCGUGACCAAAGCAGUCAUUCUCGACAUGAAUUAGCAAGCUGGGAUAACAAAGGAGCAACCUUGAGGCUACCGUCUCGGCUUUUGUUGGUUUUAAAGGCCUCUGGGGAUUAUGGGCCCGCACGACAAGCCCCUUGGCCGCACCUCGUGCGCGCCGAGGUCAUUUGGCCUUCUCUUUCGUCGUCAGCGCGCCCUACGCGGGUGGCACGGGCGUCUGGGCUUGCGGGGACCAGGAAUGAAGGAGGGUUGUUCGGGGGAGAACGUACUUGGGCGUUAGGGUGAAAUUCAUAGACCGCCCAAUGACGAACUACAGCGAAGGCAUUCUCCAAGGAUACCUUCCUCAUCAAGAACCAAAGUGUGGAGAUCGAAGAUGAUUAGA
This 574-nucleotide ribosomal RNA is filed under the name uncultured kinetoplastid. RNAcentral describes it as "bacterial SSU rRNA". It matches the Rfam family "Eukaryotic small subunit ribosomal RNA", at positions 615 to 1012 of the family's 1831-position model. The record is from RNAcentral. Lineage: Eukaryota; Euglenozoa; Kinetoplastea.